RNAcentral lists this long non-coding RNA (906 nucleotides) under Olea europaea subsp. europaea. Lineage: Eukaryota; Viridiplantae; Streptophyta; Magnoliopsida; Lamiales; Oleaceae. The record is from RNAcentral.
UAUUUAAACCCAUUUAUUUUUUCUACUCAAGAUAAAAACCUUCAGACUUAAUGGGCAGGUUGUAUUCGAAUUUCAUUGGGUAUUUAUAAUUUUCAUAAUGUUAAUUUAUAAGUUCAUAAUUUCUAUGCUGGCCUCAUUUUUUAUUGUGAAUUGACCUUUGCUUCUACUGUAACCCACUUGUGCUAUGGGCUUAAUAAUACUGUGACAAUUAUUUUUGUGUUUGUGACCCAUUUUUCUGGUAUGUGACCUGAAUUGUGUUUGUUCUAUUUGAAAUAUUAUUAUCAAUGUUUGUGAUUUGAGUGCCUAUACAAGGAUUUGUGACCUGUGUGUUGGUGACCUAUUUGGAAUAGUGUUAUCCGUGUUUGUGACCUAAAUAUAUCUACCGAUAUCUGAUAUUGAUGUAUGUGAAUUAUUUCAUAAUCUUUGUAGGAAAGAUAGUACACUAACCCUGAUAACCUUUGAUUUUCGCAAAAAAAAUUAUAACUAAUGCGACAAAGAAUGUUUUGACAUAUUUUACAUCGAAAUUCAAUGAGAAACAAAUGGAGAUUCUAGUUGAUUUCAUUUGAUGCCCGUGACAUUAGGAUGAACAUAGCUUCUUUGCUGUUUAAACAACAACAGAUUAAGCAAACCACAAAGCGAAGGAAGAAGAAGGGAAAUAAAUUAUUGAUGUAUUCAUUUUUUUCAAAAUUUAUUAGCUUGACAGAUAUGUAGUUAAUGUAAAUGUUUUAAAAAUGUUCAUUUUGUUGAACAUCAGUUUCUUUAUGGACGAAACAUUCAAUACAUAUGAUUAUGGAUUUGUUUUGUUUGGAUCAAUAUAGAUGAGCAAGUUUUUUCAUGCUACUAGUAAAAUUUUGGAUGCGUGAGGCUAUUGUCAUUUUAAACAGGUCAUUAGUUUUCUCAUUUGUG